This 759-nucleotide ribosomal RNA is filed under the name uncultured bacterium. RNAcentral describes it as "bacterial SSU rRNA". It matches the Rfam family "Bacterial small subunit ribosomal RNA", at positions 28 to 776 of the family's 1533-position model. The record is from RNAcentral.
GAUGAACGCUAGCUACAGGCUUAACACAUGCAAGUCGAGGGGCAGCAUGGUCUUAGCUUGCUAAGGCCGAUGGCGACCGGCGCACGGGUGAGUAACACGUAUCCAACCUGCCGUCUACUCUUGGACAGCCUUCUGAAAGGAAGAUUAAUACAAGAUGGCAUCAUGAGUCCGCAUGUUCACAUGAUUAAAGGUAUUCCGGUAGACGAUGGGGAUGCGUUCCAUUAGAUAGUAGGCGGGGUAACGGCCCACCUAGUCUUCGAUGGAUAGGGGUUCUGAGAGGAAGGUCCCCCACAUUGGAACUGAGACACGGUCCAAACUCCUACGGGAGGCAGCAGUGAGGAAUAUUGGUCAAUGGGCGAGAGCCUGAACCAGCCAAGUAGCGUGAAGGAUGACUGCCCUAUGGGUUGUAAACUUCUUUUAUAAAGGAAUAAAGUCGGGUAUGCAUACCCGUUUGCAUGUACUUUAUGAAUAAGGAUCGGCUAACUCCGUGCCAGCAGCCGCGGUAAUACGGAGGAUCCGAGCGUUAUCCGGAUUUAUUGGGUUUAAAGGGAGCGUAGAUGGAUGUUUAAGUCAGUUGUGAAAGUUUGCGGCUCAACCGUAAAAUUGCAGUUGAUACUGGAUAUCUUGAGUGCAGUUGAGGCAGGCGGAAUUCGUGGUGUAGCGGUGAAAUGCUUAGAUAUCACGAAGAACUCCGAUUGCGAAGGCAGCCUGCUAAGCUGCAACUGACAUUGAGGCUCGAAAGUGUGNGUAUCAAACAGG